UCCGGAGUCCCCUCCCCAAGAGAUGUAUGCUCUUUGUUUCUUGACGGGUUUCUUCUCCUUUUUGGUAUUUGGACAGUUUUGUUUGAUAUGCCCGAUUUCUCCGCAUCCAUAGCACUUUAAUUGGUCUCCUUGUCGCUUACCUUUUCGUUCAUACUCCAUUCGCAUGAAUUUGUGAAAUUUCUUAAUAACGAGUCCGAACUCGUUAU
Molecule: long non-coding RNA, 206 nt
Filed under: Nicotiana benthamiana
Lineage: Eukaryota; Viridiplantae; Streptophyta; Magnoliopsida; Solanales; Solanaceae
Description: long non-coding RNA (NBEN_LNC005213)
Source: RNAcentral